This is a long non-coding RNA of Phragmites australis (common reed), 798 nucleotides long. RefSeq lists it as uncharacterized. The transcript has 2 exons. The record is from RefSeq and is a predicted model, not a curated record. NCBI's taxonomy places the organism in Eukaryota, Viridiplantae, Streptophyta, Magnoliopsida, Poales, Poaceae.
GCUUGGCAAGACAGCAAAGCUUGUAAUUUUCAUUAGAAUGAAACCUGUAAACCGGCUGCACUGAAAUUGUAUCAUCAGGUCCUGUUAUCGAGAUUUGGAGCUGGACGGUUCGCAGCAAGUGGAUCUGGUUGUGGGUAGCCUGACGCCGAUGCCAGUGGCGGGAAAGCCUCCAUCCUGUCAUGUCCUCUGCAAGCGGCUGCUGCAGCCGCGCCGGUUCGCGCCAAAGUUGGCACGGUCAAGUAGCCAUCGCGGGCGAGGUGUGCCGCCAAAUUAAGCUGGAAGAGAAGGGGCAGUGACGUCGCCCCCGGCGUCGUCUUCUUCCUCCUCGCAGCCAAAGGCGACUGAACAAGACGUCUGCCGUGUCCUUCGCGCACGGCUCGGUCGUCGGAGCAUGGUCGUCGCCAUGGAUGAGCUGCUGCCGGUGCGAAAUUAAGCGGAAAGAAUCACGUGAUGUACUUUGGCCCAACGCCUGCUGUGACCAGGAUGAGUCAGGCAGCAGCACAAGCACGGUGGACGCACGAUGGCUCCAGACGUCGUCUUCUCCUUGUGGACCGUCCUGUCGCUUUUGAUCCGUGGAGGAAAGCCAUGGCCCAUGCACGCACAACAGGUGGAUGGACGAGGCUCGGGAAAACCAGAUUCCUCCAUGGAUCACAAGCUUUUAAACUUUUGCAUCAGUUUCUUCCUGAUGGGAGGAGCAUGUAGGGAUGCAAGUUCAUUUCUUCUUUUUUUUUUGUUAUCGGCCAAAUUCACUCCAUGUAACUUUAAAAAAUUCAAUUUCAUCGCCUAAUUGCAGGCUUA